GGGUGUCUGGUGGUGAUCCUAAGCUGUCAAGAAAAGCCUCGACGUCAGGGCAUGACGCGCCCGUACCCUAAACCGACUCAGGUGGUCAGGUAGAGUAUACCGAGGCGUUCGAGUGAAUCAUGGUUAAGGAACUCGGCAAAAUUCCUCCGUAACUUCGGGAUAAGGAGGACCCCGUGACGUUCCCCCAACUUCUGGGUGCGAGCGUUGUGGGGUCGCAGAGAAUAGGGAGAAGCGACUGUUUAUCAAAAACACAGGUGCGUGCGAAGUCGUAAGACGAUGUAUACGCACUGACGCCUGCCCGGUGCUGGAAGGUUAAGAGGAAGGCUCAACCACACUCGUGUGGUGAAGGCUUGAAUUUAAGCCCCAGUAAACGGCGGUGGUAACUAUAACCAUCCUAAGGUAGCGAAAUUCCUUGUCGGGUAAGUUCCGACCUGCACGAAUGGCGUAACGACUUCUCCGCUGUCUCGACCAUGAACUCGGUGAAAUUGCACUACGAGUAAAGAUGCUCGUUACGCGCAGAAGGACGGAAAGACCCCGGGACCUUUACUAUAGCUUGGUAUUGGUGUUCGCUUGGACUUGUGUAGGAUAGGUGGGAGACUGUGAAGCAGGGGCGCCAGCUCUUGUGGAGUCGUCGUUGAAAUACCAUUCUGGUUCACGCGGCCAUCUAACCUCGAACAGUCAUCCGGGUUGGGGACAGUGCCUGGCGGGUAGUUUAACUGGGGCGGUUGCCUCCCAAAAAGUAACGGAGGCGCUCAAAGGUUCCCUCAGCCUGGUUGGUAAUCAGGUGGCGAGUGCAAGUGUACAAGGGAGCUUGACUGUGAGACCGACGGGUCGAGCAGGUGCGAAAGCAGGAACUAGUGAUCCGGCCAUGGCACGUGGGUGCGUGGUCGCUCAACGGAUAAAAGGUACCCCGGGGAUAACAGGCUGAUCUUGCCCAAGAGUCCAUAUCGACGGGAUGGUUUGGCACCUCGAUGUCGGCUCGUCGCAUCCUGGGGCUGGAGUUGGUCCCAAGGGUUGGGCUGUUCGCCCAUUAAAGCGGUACGCGAGCUGGGUUCAGAACGUCGUGAGACAGUUCGGUCCCUAUCCUCUGUGCGCGCAGGAAACUUGCGGAGAGCCGUCCCUAGUACGAGAGGACCGGGAUGGACGAACCUCUGGUAUGCCAGUUGUACCGCCAGGUGCACGGCCGGUUGGCUACGUUCGGAAGGGAUAACCGCUGAAAGCAUCUAAGCGGGAAGCCUGCUCCAA
This 1245-nucleotide ribosomal RNA is filed under the name human gut metagenome. RNAcentral's name for it is "bacterial LSU rRNA". It matches the Rfam family "Bacterial large subunit ribosomal RNA", at positions 1582 to 2802 of the family's 2925-position model. The record is from RNAcentral.